RNAcentral lists this ribosomal RNA (460 nucleotides) under uncultured bacterium. RNAcentral's name for it is "partial 16S ribosomal RNA". It matches the Rfam family "Bacterial small subunit ribosomal RNA", at positions 338 to 795 of the family's 1533-position model. The record is from RNAcentral.
CCUACGGGGGGCUGCAGUGAGGAAUAUUGGUCAAUGUGCGCGAGCCUGAACCAGCCACGUCGCGUGCAGGAUGACGGCUCUCCGCGUUGUAAACUUCUUUUAUAAAGGAGUAAAGUGAGGCACGUGUGUCUUUUUGUAUGUACUGUAUGAAUAAGGAUCGGCUAACUCCGGCCCAGCAGCCGCGGUAAUACGGAGGAUCCGAGCGUUAGCCGGAUUUAUUGGGUUUAAAGGGAGCGUAGAUGGGUGGUUAAGUCAGUUGUGAAAGUUUGCGGCUCAACCGUAGAAUUGCAUGUGAUACUGGCAGUCUAGAGUGCAGUUGAGGUAGGCGGAAUUCGUGGUGUAGCGGUGAAAUGCGUAGAGAUCACGAAGAACACCGAUGGCGAAGGCAGCUGACUAAGCUGCCACUGACGUUGAGGCUCGAAAGUGUGGGUAGCAAACAGGAUUAGAUACCCGGGUAGUC